This 504-nucleotide ribosomal RNA is filed under the name uncultured eubacterium WR160. RNAcentral describes it as "bacterial SSU rRNA". It matches the Rfam family "Bacterial small subunit ribosomal RNA", at positions 9 to 527 of the family's 1533-position model. The record is from RNAcentral.
GAGUUUGAUCAUGGCUCAGGACGAACGCUGGCGGCGUGCUUAACACAUGCAAGUCGAGCGAGGCCCUUCCUUCGGGAAGGUGCCCUAGCGGCGAACGGGUGAGUAACACGUGGGCAACCUGCCCCUAGCACUGGGAUAACUCCGGGAAACCGGGGCUAAUACCGGAUAUGACCUUUGAGGGCAUCCUCGAAGGUGUAAAGGAUUCUGGCUAGGGAUGGGCCCGCGGCCUAUCAGCUUGUUGGUGGGGUAAUGGCCUACCAAGGCGACGACGGGUAGCCGGCCUGAGAGGGCGACCGGCCACACUGGGACUGAGACACGGCCCAGACUCCUACGGGAGACAGCAGUGGGGAAUAUUGCACAAUGGGCGAAAGCCUGAUGCAGCGACGCCGCGUGAGGGAUGACGGCCUUCGGGUUGUAAACCUCUUUCAGCAGGGACGAAGCGAAAGUGACGGUACCUGCAGAAGAAGCACCGACCAACUACGUGCCAGCAGCCGCGGUAAUACG